GCUGGUGCAGUGCUGAGCGCCUGUGCUCCCAGCUGCUCAGGAGGCUGAGGCAGGAGGACGGCUUGAGCCCAGGAACUGGGAGCCAGCCAGGGCAGCAAAGUGAGGUCCUGUCUCUC
Molecule: small RNA, 116 nt
Filed under: Marmota monax (woodchuck)
Lineage: Eukaryota; Metazoa; Chordata; Mammalia; Rodentia; Sciuridae
Source: RNAcentral